GGCGGCGUACCCAAGCGGUCUAAGGGGACGGUUUGCAAAACCGUUAUCCGUCGGUUCGAAUCCGACCGCCGCCU
This 74-nucleotide transfer RNA is filed under the name Phycisphaerae bacterium. RNAcentral's name for it is "tRNA-Cys". It matches the Rfam family "tRNA". From Rfam's summary of the family: Transfer RNA (tRNA) molecules are approximately 80 nucleotides in length. Their secondary structure includes four short double-helical elements and three loops (D, anti-codon, and T loops). RNAcentral also lists the same sequence under 1 other name. Lineage: Bacteria; Pseudomonadati; Planctomycetota; Phycisphaerae. The record is from RNAcentral.